This 467-nucleotide ribosomal RNA is filed under the name Theileria luwenshuni. RNAcentral describes it as "SSU rRNA". It matches the Rfam family "Eukaryotic small subunit ribosomal RNA", at positions 461 to 966 of the family's 1831-position model. The record is from RNAcentral. Lineage: Eukaryota; Apicomplexa; Aconoidasida; Piroplasmida; Theileriidae.
UAGGUAGUGGCAAGAAAUAACAAUACGGGGCUUAAUGUCUUGUAAUUGGAAUGAUGGGAAUUUAAACCUCUUCCAGAGUAUCAAUUGGAGGGCAAGUCUGGUGCCAGCAGCCGCGGUAAUUCCAGCUCCAAUAGCGUAUAUUAAAAUUGUUGCAGUUAAAAAGCUCGUAGUUGAAUUUCUGCUGCAUUGCAUCUUCUUUUUGAUGAGUUGGUGUAUUGUGGCUUAUUUCGGAUGAUACUUGUAUUAUCCGGAUGAUUACUUUGAGAAAAUUAGAGUGCUCAAAGCAGGCUUUUGCCUUGAAUAGUUUAGCAUGGAAUAAUAAAGUAGGACUUUGGUUCUAUUUUGUUGGUUUUAGGUACCAAAGUAAUGGUUAAUAGGAACAGUUGGGGGCAUUCGUAUUUAACUGUCAGAGGUGAAAUUCUUAGAUUUGUUAAAGACGAACUACUGCGAAAGCAUUGCCAAGGAGU